GGAUUGUGGCUCAGUGGUAGAGCACUCGCCUAGCAUGUGUGAGUCACUGAGUUCAAUUCUCAGCACCA
RNAcentral lists this transfer RNA (68 nucleotides) under Marmota monax (woodchuck). RNAcentral's name for it is "tRNA.Ala". The stretch from base 5 to 65 matches the Rfam family "tRNA", at positions 6 to 65 of the family's 71-position model. Rfam says of the family: Transfer RNA (tRNA) molecules are approximately 80 nucleotides in length. Their secondary structure includes four short double-helical elements and three loops (D, anti-codon, and T loops). Lineage: Eukaryota; Metazoa; Chordata; Mammalia; Rodentia; Sciuridae. The record is from RNAcentral.